CUACGGGAGGCAGCAGUGGGGAAUAUUGGGCAAUGGGCGCAAGCCUGACCCAGCAACGCCGCGUGAAGGAAGAAGGCUUUCGGGUUGUAAACUUCUUUUACCAGGGACGAAGAAGUGACGGUAGCCAAGGAGGAAGCCACGGCUAACUACGUGCCAGCAGCCGC
Molecule: ribosomal RNA, 164 nt
Filed under: uncultured bacterium
Lineage: Bacteria
Description: partial 16S ribosomal RNA
Rfam family: Bacterial small subunit ribosomal RNA
Source: RNAcentral